GUGAGAGUGUUGGGUUAAGUCCCGCAACGAGCGCAACCCUUAUCCCCAGUUGCCAUCAGGUAAGCUGGGAACUCUGGGGAGACUGCCGGUGGAUAAACCGGAGGAAGGCGGGGAUGACGUCAAGUCCUCAUGGCCCUUACAUCCCGGGCUACACACGUGCUACAAUGGCAGGUACAGAGGGCUGCGAAGCCGCGAGGUGGAGCGAAUCCCAGAAAACCUGUCUCAGUCCGGAUUGAAGUCUGCAACUCGACUUCAUGAAGGCGGAAUCGCUAGUAACCGCGAAUCAGCAGGUCGCGGUGAAUACGUUCCCGGGCCUU
Molecule: ribosomal RNA, 317 nt
Filed under: uncultured Latescibacterota bacterium
Lineage: Bacteria; Pseudomonadati; Candidatus Latescibacterota
Description: bacterial SSU rRNA
Rfam family: Bacterial small subunit ribosomal RNA
Source: RNAcentral